AUUAGAAUAGAGUUGUCUGUGAUGGUGGAGAUUGGCUGAAAAGGGGCUCAAGGGAUCUUUCUGGUUGGUGGAAAUAUCCUGUCUUGAUUGGAGCUUUAGUUAUGCAGCUUCAGUAUCUGAAAGAGGGAAAUCAUUCUACCCUUUCACAGUCUCCACGAGAGAAUAAAUGAGAUCAGGAAUAUAAAGUACCUAUCAUGAUACUACAUACAUAGAACAGAGUUUUCAACAGACUGACGCUCCCUUAAAGUUCAUUUUAGUCGAGUAAGUCAUCUGAAUCAUAACUGGAAAUGCGUCUAAGCUACUGCCCAUAUCUCUGUGAUAUACUUCAAAAUAACCUUGGUUUGAAUUAAGCUUGCAGAUAAAUGGACAAAAAUAUCUUAAUAUGGAGCAGAAAUCUUAAAGGAAGA
This 407-nucleotide long non-coding RNA is filed under the name Equus asinus (donkey). Its description in RNAcentral is "lncRNA (ENSEASG00005035386.1)". The record is from RNAcentral. Lineage: Eukaryota; Metazoa; Chordata; Mammalia; Perissodactyla; Equidae.